RNAcentral lists this ribosomal RNA (497 nucleotides) under uncultured bacterium. Its description in RNAcentral is "partial 16S ribosomal RNA". It matches the Rfam family "Bacterial small subunit ribosomal RNA", at positions 28 to 507 of the family's 1533-position model. The record is from RNAcentral.
GACGAACGCUGGCGGCGUGCCUAAUACAUGCAAGUAGAACGCUGAAGAGAGGAGCUUACUCUUCUUGGAUGAGUUGCGAACGGGUGAGUAACGCGUAGGUAACCUGCCUUGUAGCGGGGGAUAACUAUUGGAAACGAUAUCUAAUACCGCAUAACAAGGGCUGACACUUGUCAUUUAUUUGAAAGGGGCAAUGGCUCCACUACAAGAUGGACCUGCGUUGUAUUAGCUAGUAGGUGAGGUAAUGGCUCAACUAGGGGACGGUACAUAGCCUGCCCGAGAGGGUGGUCCGCCCACACGGGACUGGGAAACGGCUCCGGACCCUUACGGAGGCAGCCGUAGGGGAACUUCGGACAUGGGGGGCAACCUGACCGAGCACAGCCGCGUGAGUGAAGGAGGUCUUCGGAUCGUAAAGCUCUGUUGUAAGUGAAGAACGGGUGUGAGGGUGGAACGUUCACACUGUGACGGUAGCUUAACAGAAAGGGACGGCUAACUACGUG